Molecule: ribosomal RNA, 443 nt
Filed under: uncultured bacterium
Lineage: Bacteria
Description: partial 16S ribosomal RNA
Rfam family: Bacterial small subunit ribosomal RNA
Source: RNAcentral
CCUACGGGAGGCAGCAGUGGGGAAUAUUGGGCAAUGGGCGCAAGCCUGACCCAGCAACGCCGCGUGAAGGAAGAAUGCUUUCGGGUUGUAAACUUCUUUUUUCAGGGACGAAGCAAGUGACGGUACCUGACGAAUAAGCCACGGCUAACUACGUGCCAGCAGCCGCGGUAAUACGUAGGUGGCAAGCGUUAUCCGGAUUUACUGGGUGUAAAGGGCGUGGAGGCGGGACUGCAAGUCAGAUGUGAAAAUCACGGGUUCAACCUGGGGACUGCAUUUGAAACUGUAGGUCUUGAGUACUGGAGAGGUAGACGGAAUUCCUAGUGUAGCGGUGAAAUGCGUAGAUAUUAGGAGGAACCCCAGUGGCGAAGGCGGUCUGCUGGACAGCAACUGACGCUGAGGCGCGAAAGCGUGGGGAGCAAACAGGAUUAGAUACCCUAGUAGUC